This 253-nucleotide ribosomal RNA is filed under the name uncultured bacterium. Its description in RNAcentral is "partial 16S ribosomal RNA". It matches the Rfam family "Bacterial small subunit ribosomal RNA", at positions 524 to 776 of the family's 1533-position model. The record is from RNAcentral.
UACGGAGGGUCCAAGCGUUAUCCGGAAUCAUUGGGUUUAAAGGGUCCGUAGGCGGUUUUGUAAGUCAGUGGUGAAAGCCCAUCGCUCAACGGUGGAACGGCCAUUGAUACUGCAAGACUUGAAUUAUUGGGAAGCAACUAGAAUAUGUAGUGUAGCGGUGAAAUGCUUAGAGAUUACAUGGAAUACCAAUUGCGAAGGCAGGUUGCUAGCAAUACAUUGACGCUGAUGGACGAAAGCGUGGGGAGCGAACAGG